UAGCGGCGAGCGAACAGAAAAGAGCCUAAUCCAUUAGUGGAACAUUUAAGAAGUUGAAUCAUCUGGGAAGAUGAACCAAAGAAAGUGACAGUCUUGUAAACGAACCUUAAAUAAACCUAGGAGGAAAGUAGCACCGGACACGAGGAAUCCGUUGUGAAGAUAGGGGGACCAUCCCCUAAGGCUAAAUACUAACAUGUGACCGAUAGCGAACAAGUACCGUGAGGGAAAGG
Molecule: ribosomal RNA, 230 nt
Filed under: Chrysotila carterae
Lineage: Eukaryota; Haptophyta; Isochrysidales; Isochrysidaceae
Description: partial Bacterial large subunit ribosomal RNA
Rfam family: Bacterial large subunit ribosomal RNA
Source: RNAcentral